Long non-coding RNA from Oxyura jamaicensis (ruddy duck), 748 nucleotides. RefSeq lists it as uncharacterized. NCBI's taxonomy places the organism in Eukaryota, Metazoa, Chordata, Aves, Anseriformes, Anatidae. The record is from RefSeq and is a predicted model, not a curated record. The transcript has 2 exons.
GUGGAGAGCAAAUGUCAUGAAAAAGAUUUUCUGGCAAGAGUCAAGCGGCGCCUCUUCUGAUCAGUAAUUCAGACAGAGCUUAUCACAUAGACGGAAACAUAAUCAUUGUACUGCUAAACGGGGUAAUGUGCCAGUGCAGCACUUCACUUCUGAUUCAGUGCUACAGGAGGGUGCACAGACCUCAGUCAAGAUGCUGGAGGACACCAUGCAGGAUCACAGCCACUGGUUGCUACUCUGCCUUUCACCGGUCAGCUCAAGAGGCCGUUAGUGUCCAGCUGCUCUUCUCCAGUCAUGUUGCUUCUUAAUCGCCUUUUCAAUAACAGAAAAGAGAAUGAAGAAAAUCUCUUCUCCAAUCUACGGAUUGCACUUGUGGCUCUUUUCCAGAUGACAUCCAGUCCUACAAUGCUAAUAUCCUUAAGCAUGCCUCACCAGUGCACUCAUCUAUUCACAGAAACAUCCCAGUAGAUUUCAGUGAAACUAAAAAAGUCACUGAGGUGUCUAUUUCUCUCUGUUGACUUUUAAGGGAACUCCAAGUAGUUAGAUGAGAUGUCUAGCAUCAAAAGUAGAUACAUGUGAAAUUAUUCCUAUAUAUGACUGUUUAAAUAUGCAGAAAGGUCCCUGAUUUUCCAACAUCAUGUUACAGCACAGUAGAUUUUUUUUCUCUUGUUCAAAUGCAUUAAUAAAUAUUAUUACAAUAUUGUAUUGUGGGCACUUUUAAUUGAACAAAAUAUAUCACUAAAUAUGUUGA